Molecule: unclassified non-coding RNA, 139 nt
Filed under: uncultured fungus
Lineage: Eukaryota; Fungi
Description: sequence contains ITS1
Source: RNAcentral
UAUAACUUUUUGAUAUAACAUCCAAAUCCAUAGGAGCGAUAAAAAAGACGGUGCACAGGUGAGUGAAAAAUGAUUUGGGCCUCGAUGAAGAGCGCCCAUGUAAUCACUAAUGAUCCUUCCGCAGGUUCACCUACGGAAA